This is a non-coding RNA of Chelonoidis abingdonii (Abingdon island giant tortoise), 95 nucleotides long. Lineage: Eukaryota; Metazoa; Chordata; Testudines; Testudinidae. The record is from RefSeq and is a predicted model, not a curated record.
ACGGGUCGGCCUCCUGCCUGGACUGAGGCCUGCUUCCCCUCUCAAGGGGAUCUCUGUAGAGCAUGGAGGGUGGGGGAGGUUUAGGGACACAGGCA